CCUACGGGUGGCAGCAGUGGGGAAUAUUGGGCAAUGGAGGAAACUCUGACCCAGCAAUGCCGCGUGAAUGAAGAAGGUCUUCGGAUUGUAAAGUUCUUUUGUCAGGGCAGAAUAAAAUGACGGUACCUGAAGAAUCAGCUCCGACUAACUACGUGCCAGCCGCCGCGGUAAUACGUGAGGAGCCAGUGGUGUUCGGCAUGCCUGGGCGGAAAGGGUGCGUCGGGGGGUAUACAAGUUCGAAGGUGAAUACCCAGGGCUUAACCCGGGUGCUGCAUCUAAAAUUGUAAGACUUGAGUGAAGGAGAGGUAAGUGGAAUUCCUGGUGUAGCGGUGGAAUGCGUAGAGAUUAGGAGGAACACCAGAGGCGAAGGCGGCUAACUGGACUGCAACUGACGCUGAGGCACGAAAGUGUGGGGAGCAAACAGGAUUAGAUACCCGUGUAGUC
RNAcentral lists this ribosomal RNA (444 nucleotides) under uncultured bacterium. RNAcentral describes it as "partial 16S ribosomal RNA". It matches the Rfam family "Bacterial small subunit ribosomal RNA", at positions 338 to 795 of the family's 1533-position model. The record is from RNAcentral.